CAGCGUCACAGACGGAAGCAAAGGCAGUGAGAGAGUGUCAGGGUGAUAGAUGCCUUCGCAUAAAGGACGAUUUAACACUCAGUAGGAAUUUCUGAGGACGAAGAAGCUCUACUGAAACUGUACUAAAAUUCCCCCCGAAAUUCUUAUCGAAAAGAGUUAACACUGCGGAAGGAAAUUUGUUUAAAACGUGAGAUCUAAAUGUGACUAGCUACAUAGGUAAGUGUUACGUGAUGCGCGAU
Pocillopora damicornis (cauliflower coral) is the source of this 239-nucleotide long non-coding RNA. The record is from RefSeq and is a predicted model, not a curated record. NCBI's taxonomy places the organism in Eukaryota, Metazoa, Cnidaria, Anthozoa, Scleractinia, Pocilloporidae.